RNAcentral lists this unclassified non-coding RNA (158 nucleotides) under soil metagenome. RNAcentral describes it as "partial internal transcribed spacer 1". The record is from RNAcentral.
UAAUAAGUGUUUUAUGGCACUUUUUAAAUCCAUAUCCACCUUGUGUGCAAUGUCAGUCGGUUUUCUUUUUCGUCAAGAAAAAAAGGAUCGACCAAACAGCAACUUAUUCUAAUUGAACUUUUGUCUGAAAACUAUUAUGAAUAAACUAAUUCAAAAUA